UAUCGGAAAAAGAAUGGAAUAUUUAUAUCCAGAUGGCUAAGAACAGUUUCCUCAAGAUCUUCCAUAGCCAAUUGUGCUAUAACACUGGAAAUGGAAGCUCCCAUCGCAUAACCAUCAAUUUUUUUGCACAUUCUAAUACAUCAUCGUACACGUGCUAGCUGAAGAAAGAAAAUCAAUUGUACCGGCCCCAGAGUUAUUAUUACGACUUGACACAAUGAUGGUGGGUGUCUUGAAUGAACUCCAACACAUCCAGAGGGUCGUGGAUGCAAAUUACCGCAGGUCCGAACAAUGGACGGACGAUCUUAGAGGCACACUGCGAUUUUUUCCGCUGUGACACCCACAUAAGAUAGGAUCCGAUGCAGACUCAGGUGAAAAUCAUGAGCAAAACAAAAAUAAUGGAGAAGACAUGUAUGAGUUUGAUGACUCUGCCACGGACAAACAUUAUUUAAAAUCCUCAGAUUCCGAUACUUGUAAGCCCUCUACUUCAAAUAAAUAUGUUACAAAUCAUUAUUAUUCAUCUAAUUAAUCUUUUUCACUUCAGAAUCAGGUAAAAAUCAUAAGCAAAUAAGAAUAAUGGAGAGGACAUGCAUGACAAUUCGAUAAGCAGCGAUGAAGCUGAUGACUCUGACAAGGACAAACAUUAUUUACCAGACAGUGAUUCAAGAUCCUCAGAUUCCGAUAAUUGUAAGCCCUCUACUUCAAAUAAGGUAAAUAAAAAAUUGAACUAUGUAACGACUCGUGAUCUGGAGAAAGACUUACCUCACAAGUGAUGAUGAAUCAGUUGUACCUGCUGAUGUGAACAGCCACAAGAAAUCCUUCAGAAAAGUUGAAAAUAAAAGAUCUAUUGAACAGAAAGGUAGAAAAAGAGUGAUAAAUCCAGAUGCUUGGCUUUGUAAUGUAGGUAAACAAAAAUUGGCUGGAGGUGAAGAGUAUAUUAGCAAGAAAGGUAAAACUGUACCUGCUAAGGUUAUGAAACCACCAUGCUCUUGUCGUUUGAAGUGCUAUGAGAGAUUGAAUUACACAGUAAGAUCACAUAUUUUCAAAAAUUACUGGGACAAAAAUAAAAGCCCUAAUGUGAAGAGACAUUUAUCGUGCUUAGAUGGCAUUCCCAUUGAACGUUCAAGAAAGCCACACAAUUUUCCUAAAAAAACUAAACAUAAUACAAUAAAUUACUAUUUUAAAUAAAGUAAAAAUGAAUAAAUAAUAUAAUUAAAGUGUGCAAAUUGAUGUUUCUAAACAUUCUCGCAAUUUCUAGUACUGUUGUUGUGAAUUGUUUAAAAAACUACCAGCCGGGAGAAGCAGUUUUUUUAAACUUGACCAGAGAAAAAACGCACUCCAACUAACAUAAUAACACAAGAUGGUGUAAAUAAUGUAUAUCUCUUCCAUCCCUUCUUAUGAAAGUCAUUAUUGUCGGGAAAAAACACCAGAGGUAGCCAUAUGUGACACAUGUGACUCGUUUCAGGCCAAUCUUCAAAAUAGCUGUUUGGAGCAAGCAGACUGAGACAGCUUAAAUGCUGAAUACGAGGCACACCUUUCCGAAGCAAAUAAAAGAUACGCCCUAAAAAGUGAAGAUACCAAAAUUGUUAAAACAAACCCUAACCACAAAGUUUUCAAUUGUGACCUGCAAAAGUUUUUGCCUACACCUUUGUUGACAAACGCUUUAAGUUUUUAUAAACGGAAACUUUGGAUUCUAAAUUAUACUCUUUAUGACUCAUCUGAUAAGAGUGUACAUUGCAUGAUGUAGGACGAAUCGAAAGCUGGUAGAGGUGGAGAGGAAAUCUCUUCAGCUAUUUUGAAAUGGGCUGACAGUGUUAUUCCUACUUCAAACGUUCAAGAAAUAUCGCUGUAGUCAGACAACUGUUUUGGCCAGAACAAAAAUAUUUCAAUUAUAGUGUGCUUUUUCUAGAUUUUGAAAAAAUAUCCUCAAAUAAAAUUUAUCAAUAUAAAGUUCCUGUUAAAAGGACAUACUCAUAUGGAAGCGGAUACCGUUCACGCUUUAAUUGAAAGGAAAUGGAAGAACCUUAAGAACCUGACAAUCCUCACUCCCUGAGAAUAACAGUAGAUGGUGCGCCAUUGUUCCAGCAGGUACCAUGUAUAUAACAUGGAGCAAAACAACUUUAAACAAUUUAAUGCACUGCAUAAAGGCAAAAACGUACCAUUUAUACAUCGAAAACAAACUACUGAUAAGGAAGUUUUUCAUGUCUAGCUGCGUCCAUAUUCAAGUGAGGCAGGAACAACUUGGCAUUUUUCACUCCAAAUCGUCAUUUGAUGGCGAUUUUCAAGCAGUUGACGUCAACAGGAAAAGAAAAAGUAAAAGAUUAGAUGAGGAUGGGCCUACAUUUCCGCCAAAUCUUUCAAUUAAGGAAGCUGUCCCAAUAUCAGAAAUUCAAUGACUUCAUUUCUUUAUUACCUUACAUUCCUAGUUUUCGCCAUGGCUUUUAUGAGAACCUCUUAAAAACUAAUUUUAAUAACCAUGACUAUCCAACCGGUGAUAA
Molecule: long non-coding RNA, 2495 nt
Organism: Diorhabda sublineata
Lineage: Eukaryota; Metazoa; Arthropoda; Insecta; Coleoptera; Chrysomelidae
Exons: 3
Source: RefSeq, a predicted model, not a curated record